Molecule: ribosomal RNA, 301 nt
Filed under: uncultured bacterium
Lineage: Bacteria
Description: partial 16S ribosomal RNA
Rfam family: Bacterial small subunit ribosomal RNA
Source: RNAcentral
CAGUCGCCGCGGGAAUAUGUAGGGUGCGAGCGUUAAUCGGAAUUACUGGGCGUAAAGCGUGCGCAGGCGGUUGUGUAAGACAGGUGUGAAAUCCCCGGGCUUAACCUGGGAACUGCGCUUGUGACUGCACAGCUAGAGUAUGGCAGAGGGGGGUGGAAUUCCACGUGUAGCAGUGAAAUGCGUAGAGAUGUGGAGGAACACCGAUGGCGAAGGCAGCCCCCUGGGCCAAUACUGACGCUCAUGCACGAAAGCGUGGGGAGUAAACAGGAUUAGAUACCCCAGUAGUCCUGUCUCUUAUACC